GAUGAACGCUAGCUACAGGCUUAACACAUGCAAGUCGAGGGGAAACGAUAGAGAAAGCUUGCUUUUUCUAGGCGUCGACCGGCGCACGGGUGAGUAACGCGUAUCCAACCUGCCCACCACUUGGGGAUAACCUUGCGAAAGUAAGACUAAUACCCAAUGAUAUCUCAAGAAGACAUCUGAAGGAGAUUAAAGAUUUAUCGGUGAUGGAUGGGGAUGCGUCUGAUUAGCUUGUUGGCGGGGUAACGGCCCACCAAGGCGACAAUCAGUAGGGGUUCUGAGAGGAAGGUCCCCCACAUUGGAACUGAGACACGGUCCAAACUCCUACGGGAGGCAGCAGUGAGGAAUAUUGGUCAAUGGGCGAGAGCCUGAACCAGCCAAGUAGCGUGCAGGAUGACGGCCCUAUGGGUUGUAAACUGCUUUUAUAAGGGAAUAAAGUGAGCCUCGUGAGGCUUUUUGCAUGUACCUUAUGAAUAAGGACCGGCUAAUUCCGUGCCAGCCGCCGCAGUAA
RNAcentral lists this ribosomal RNA (508 nucleotides) under uncultured bacterium. RNAcentral's name for it is "partial 16S ribosomal RNA". It matches the Rfam family "Bacterial small subunit ribosomal RNA", at positions 28 to 523 of the family's 1533-position model. The record is from RNAcentral.